CAUUCGAACGCACAUUGCAGCCAUUGGAUAUCCAUUGGCUUUGUUUGUCUGAGCGUCGUUAUAUCUUGUAAGAGAUAAAAAAAUCUUUCGUGAAUUCUCCCAUUCUCGUCAGAUUACGUACGUAAUGUGUGAAAUGCUGACUCUUGGAGGUACGAUCCAAAGAGUAUUUUGGCGUCUCCAGCUAAAAUUCUCUAGUGCCUUCUGCUCUCCCCUCGAGAGAGAGAGAGAGAGAUCAGCUGAGUAUGUUACUGUUAUUCGUCUUUAGUCGACCUCAGAUCAAGCAAGAUUACCCGCUGAAUUUAAG
Molecule: ribosomal RNA, 304 nt
Filed under: Geomylichus postscutatus
Lineage: Eukaryota; Metazoa; Arthropoda; Arachnida; Sarcoptiformes; Listrophoridae
Description: eukaryotic LSU rRNA
Source: RNAcentral